AAAUAUUUGCUCACAUUUUCACUAAUUGGGUGCUCUGUAACAUUCCAAACCUGUAUGGAUGCGAUGCUGCCUCAGUGUCAGCAAUUGGGGCACCACAGGUAAGAUCCUGAAUGGGAGACCCUGGAAGUAGCCAGAAGCAAACAUAAAGGUGAAAUCUAGGUUGUCCUCUCUGGCCAGAGAGGAAUCUGAGUUGCAUUGCUCAGCUUCAGGAUGUCUCUGCAUUUUUGCCAGUUACUAUCUAGCUUUAAAUAAGACAAAAAAUAGUUGAUCCUUUUCCCACAGAUCCCAGGAACUUUGCAAUCUCUUCUCAGCUGUGGUGUGACUCCCCCUAUCAACAUUCUCCCUGCAGGAUAUCCUAUGGUCAGAGGGAAGCUCUUCCCUGGGAAGGGAACUUGAACCCAUCCAGAGCAGGAACUGAAGGGAGCCCAACAUCUCUUGCUUUCCAGGACUUAAGUGCUAAGCUCAUGUGAGCUGUGCCUGCACUAACAGAACUGCAAGACUCAGUGCAGGAGAAGCAAUCAAGGAUGGAGUGACAACAAAAGCACCAGAUGCCACUGAUGCCUCUUCCACACUUCAGGCAUCAUAGCAGAACAAAGAACCCUUCUGACUCCAGGUUUUCCUAGUAAAGACACAUUUGAAGAGGCACAGCCACUCUCCUAAGAGAUAAAAAUAAAAUGCUGAUACAUUCUAUUGUCAAGUAAGUCUGUAAGAUCAGAAUUGCACAGUGUUAGGGUAUUUUGCUCCAGUUAUACAGUCUAGAUCACAUUCAACUGUCCAUUUAGCCUAGCACAAAUCUCAUUUAAUUAAUCCUCAGGGUAAGUUCCUUUCAAACAACUUCUUAAAUGCUAAUGAAGGCCCAUAAUUUAAUCUUCUGUCCCUCCAUUUAUAAAGUGAUUUUUACAUAUCAUUGAAAGACAGCACUUGGAAACUAACAGUCCACUGCAAAGACUUCCACUGAGAAAACAAGGUGAAAAAAAUAGUCCUGUCCCCAAAUACAGAAAUUGUACAAAAAAAUAAAAAGGCCAAAUAAAGGUUUGUAACAAAUUUUACUUAUAGAAAAGCAUCAUUUUAGCAUAAUUUCACAAUAAAAAAGCAAGAUCUGUUGGACAUUAUAAAGACAUGGUGUAUCAAUUCAGAAUGCAACAGGUAAAGCACACCAUAAUACUCAGUGUAAAAGGUUUGAGAUACACUACUGUAUUUAGCCAGUUACUCCUGGUGCCUCUUUGUAGAUAUUUUCUUAAUUACAGGAUAUUUUUUAUCUGCUUCAUACAUGUCAGAAGUAUAUUUUGGAAUAUAAAAACAUGGAAGUGUUAAAAUACACUGAAACAUGCCAGAAAAAUCAAA
Long non-coding RNA from Onychostruthus taczanowskii (white-rumped snowfinch), 1344 nucleotides. RefSeq lists it as uncharacterized. The record is from RefSeq and is a predicted model, not a curated record. The transcript is spliced from 2 exons. Lineage: Eukaryota; Metazoa; Chordata; Aves; Passeriformes; Passeridae.